UCCUACGGGAGGCAGCAGUGGGGAAUUUUCCGCAAUGGGCGAAAGCCUGACGGAGCAACGCCGCGUGAGGGAUGAAGGCCUCUGGGCUGUAAACCUCUUUUAUCAAGGAAGAAGAUCUGACGGUACUUGAUGAAUAAGCCACGGCUAAUUCCGUGCCAGCAGCCGCGGUAAUACGGGAGUGGCAAGCGUUAUCCGGAAUUAUUGGGCGUAAAGCGUCCGCAGGCGGCCCUACAAGUCUGCUGUUAAAAAGUGGAGCUUAACUCCAUCAUGGCAGUGGAAACUGUUGGGCUUGAGUGUGGUAGGGGCAGAGGGAAUUCCCGGUGUAGCGGUGAAAUGCGUAGAUAUCGGGAAGAACACCAGUGGCGAAGGCGCUCUGCUGGGCCAUCACUGACGCUCAUGGACGAAAGCCAGGGGAGCGAAAGGGAUUAGAUACCCCUGUAGUCCUGGCCGUAAACGAUGAACACUAGGUGUCGGGGGAAUCGACCCCUCCGGUGUCGUAGCCAACGCGUUAAGUGUUUCGCCUGGGGAGUACGCACGCAAGUGUGAAACUCAAAGGAAUUGACGG
RNAcentral lists this ribosomal RNA (565 nucleotides) under uncultured bacterium. RNAcentral's name for it is "bacterial SSU rRNA". It matches the Rfam family "Bacterial small subunit ribosomal RNA", at positions 337 to 916 of the family's 1533-position model. The record is from RNAcentral.